UCCUCGAUUUGCAUGCUCUCUCGCCGGUUAGACAGAUGAGAGAGCAUGCAAAUCGAGGAGA
Pristionchus pacificus is the source of this 61-nucleotide non-coding RNA. The record is from Rfam. NCBI's taxonomy places the organism in Eukaryota, Metazoa, Nematoda, Chromadorea, Rhabditida, Neodiplogasteridae.